UCCAAUUAAAUGGACUUGACUCGAGCUAACCCAUAAACCCAUGAAUUAUGAAAUUUAUGUCUUAGAUCUUUGAUUCUCAAAUCUAAAUUACUUAAUUCUCAAUUAAGUUUUGGGCUAAUAUGGAUUAGGGUUCGACGUGUGAAAAUAGUUUCAAAUUUUAUAAAAUAUUUAUAUCAAAAUAUUUCUACUUUCUCCUAUGACCGGACAGCUAUGGGGAUCUAUCCAAUUUGAUUAUACACUACUCAA
Molecule: long non-coding RNA, 246 nt
Filed under: Elaeis guineensis (African oil palm)
Lineage: Eukaryota; Viridiplantae; Streptophyta; Magnoliopsida; Arecales; Arecaceae
Description: long non-coding RNA (EGUI_LNC058176)
Source: RNAcentral